CCCCCCCCAACUAUUGCCCACCAGUAAAUUUCUCCAAAUUUUAUAUAGCGUCUAGGCUCUAAACAAUCAAAUUAGAACUUACCUCAAAAUUUUCAGUAGAAGAGGUUGUUUUGAUGCGCAAAUAUCUUCAAAUUGAUCAUCUCGACAUCAAGAUACAUGGACUUGAGAAAAAAAUAGAUUUCAAGUUUUGGAAAUAAUGCAUCUUGUAAGGCAUUUUUGGACCAUCAAUUUUUAUGUUAUUCAAGUUUCAUAGAUUUGCUUGAUCUGCACUAUUUUUUAAGCUUUAAAUUUUAUAAUUAAAGAUGAAAAUAUAUUCUAAAGCUAGACAAAGAUUUUCAAUAUUGAAACCACAUUUCUCGCCACUAUUUGAAGGUGGGCUCUAAUUUGAUUGUUUAGAGCGUCAGCUCUAUACAAACCGCACACCCUAAAAAUACUUCUAGGUUAAGUUCUAUCCGGGGUAAUAAAUGGAUGAAAUGCUCCAAUGGAAGCAUAAAUUUUUUUAAACUUUCUCAAUUUAGAAACAAAGUAUGGGUAACUUGUUGAUAUAUUAAAAUGUGCAGGUUGAAAGAGCCCACCACAAGGGUUGCUUGUGUAUUAUUUGUGCCCAUGCCAGGCUGUUGGGUCAGAUGUCUCAUAAAUAAAGAAAAGGACAGGAGAAAAUCUUCAACAUGCAUCGAUCUUGUAAUGGAAAGAAGACACAGCCUCGAUCUUUCUUAGAAUGCCCAGAGAAUUCCUGGUCCCAUAGGUGGUGAUAAUUAGGGGAGUCCUAGUGCUUUUGGCACCUUAAUAUUGUGUGCUAGAGGGCACAGUGGCACAUGUACCUGUGCCCGUCAAGAGGCAUCUCAUGUCCCACCACUGUCUAUCAAUAAUUGGAGGGUGGAGAUUGUAUGGAGCUCGUUCAUCGCCAUGAGCUGUGUACGUGCUGAUUGUAGCGGAGAGGUCCCUCUCGUGUCAAUGCAAUUUCCAUUGAACUAACGAUGAGGAAUGGACUCAAGGCAUAGGUUUGUUAGGAUAGUAGGUACCACGAUAUGACGACUUGAUUUGAG
Molecule: long non-coding RNA, 1046 nt
Filed under: Amborella trichopoda
Lineage: Eukaryota; Viridiplantae; Streptophyta; Magnoliopsida; Amborellales; Amborellaceae
Description: long non-coding RNA (ATRI_LNC003297)
Source: RNAcentral